AUCUUUGCAACAAUGGGGCGAAAGCCUGAUGGAGCGACGCCGCGUGAGGGAUGAAGGCCUUCGGGUUGUAAACCUCUUUCACCCGGGAAGAAACACUGCGUAUUAAUCCUAUGCGGUCUUGCUUAACCCGGAGAGGAAGCAGUGGCUAACUCUGUGCCAGCAGCCGCGGUA
RNAcentral lists this ribosomal RNA (171 nucleotides) under uncultured bacterium. RNAcentral describes it as "partial 16S ribosomal RNA". It matches the Rfam family "Bacterial small subunit ribosomal RNA", at positions 359 to 522 of the family's 1533-position model. The record is from RNAcentral.